RNAcentral lists this RNase P RNA (174 nucleotides) under Bacillota bacterium. RNAcentral's name for it is "partial RNase P RNA component class A". It matches the Rfam family "Bacterial RNase P class A", at positions 1 to 158 of the family's 367-position model. From Rfam's summary of the family: Ribonuclease P (RNase P) is a ubiquitous endoribonuclease, found in archaea, bacteria and eukarya as well as chloroplasts and mitochondria. Lineage: Bacteria; Bacillati; Bacillota. The record is from RNAcentral.
UGAGUAGACUGGAUGACCGCAAGGGCUGAUGCCGAAAGGCCACCCUUGAGGAAAGUCCGAGCUCCGUAGGGCAGGGUGCUGGGUAACGCCCAGUAGGGGUAACCCUAAGGAUAGUGCCACAGAAAUAAACCGCCUGGCACUUAUUAUAACAAAUAAGUGCCGGGUAAGGAUGGA